UCAAUGUUCUCAAAUUCUUAUCCAACGUUGUAUGAUUAUGGAGAUUUGUCUUGCGCCUCAAAUCUCACAACCCUCGAAUUUCAGAUAUUUUUUUAUUUGUCUUGCAGAUGCGAGCGUAUAGAUGGCGCAGUUCAUGCAGGAAAGGCGGAAAAAGAAAGGUCGAGAUGAUACGGAACGUGCAUUUGCUCUCUUUCUUUCGCCGAAUUUGCAAGGUGUUGGUUCCUCGUCUUCCUCUUCGCCGGCGCGACGCAAAUGACUUCGUUUGAGACCAAAAACUUGGUCCAGAAAAGGCAUUUCUGUUGUAAUGGCGGAACCCUCACUCUCAAGCACCGCUCCCUGAUCGAGCGCGGUAGACAACGCGCCGGCCAAGCUUGAGGCAAUGAAACUGAAAGAAGCAGUGAAGGAAGUCGAGAACCAGAAGAAAACGCAGAAGAAUGAUCUAUGGGUGAAAAGAUUUUUUCAAAAGAAGCUGACAUGAUGGGGAAUGAGUUACAAAGGGAUGACAUGGUUUCCAAGAGUUGCAACAAAGAUAAUAAUUCUGCUGCUGCUAUUCCUUCUGAGGUGGAGGAUGGCGGGGAAGAGGAAGAGAUGAUACUGGUAAAUUUAUCCUACCUACUCUCUGCAUCAUUAGCUUUAAUUGCCAUUACAGUAAUUGUUAUCCAGGAUGAAUUGAAAGAAACUUGUUCAACUUCUUACAAAAAUCUUUUUGCUA
This is a long non-coding RNA of Juglans microcarpa x Juglans regia, 712 nucleotides long. RefSeq lists it as uncharacterized. Lineage: Eukaryota; Viridiplantae; Streptophyta; Magnoliopsida; Fagales; Juglandaceae. The record is from RefSeq and is a predicted model, not a curated record. The transcript has 2 exons.